GUUUUUUUCCCUCCAUUUGAAUGAGAACUUCUCAACUUCAUACUGUAUCUUUUUACAUCUGUAGACUCUUUUGUGCAAGGUGUGACUGAUGGUGACUGGGAUAGACUUCGAGUGAUCCUUCGUCAACCUUACACUAAGAACAAGCAAUUUGGUUUGAGAUUUCUUGAUAUCAUUCCAAAUAAUGAAACAAUUAGCCAAGUGUCUGUCAAAUCAAAAACA
Molecule: non-coding RNA, 219 nt
Organism: Paramuricea clavata
Lineage: Eukaryota; Metazoa; Cnidaria; Anthozoa; Malacalcyonacea; Plexauridae
Source: the annotation of a GenBank genome assembly